RNAcentral lists this transfer-messenger RNA (368 nucleotides) under Solirubrobacteraceae. RNAcentral describes it as "Baekduia sp016215085 Standard tmRNA". It matches the Rfam family "transfer-messenger RNA". From Rfam's summary of the family: Bacterial tmRNA, also known as 10Sa RNA or SsrA, is named for its dual tRNA and mRNA-like properties. Lineage: Bacteria; Bacillati; Actinomycetota; Thermoleophilia; Solirubrobacterales. The record is from RNAcentral. RNAcentral also lists the same sequence under 1 other name.
GGGGACGACAGGCUUCGACGUGGUCGACUCCGCUGGGUUGGUUGCGAGCCGAGGUCCCGGAGGCCUCGUAAAACACCGGGACAACCAUACGUGCGGACUCUCACGAGUACGCCCUGCAGGCCUAGCACCUAGCUAGACCGUGCAGGUCCCGCUCCCCGGCCGGCCGGCCGCCGGGGACUCGGGAUCAACCACGCCGGCUCACCCGGGGAGGUCCGCUCCCGCCGAACCGGGGACAUCUUCAGGGAGCUGGUCCUCCGCAACCCCGUCGGGGAGGCGAGCGGAGGACGAGACCAGAGCCCCGACUACGCUCGUAGAGGCCUUCCGCAGCGCGAUCGCGGACGCGGGUUCAAUUCCCGCCGUCUCCACCU